This is a non-coding RNA of Gymnopus androsaceus JB14, 93 nucleotides long. The record is from the annotation of a GenBank genome assembly. NCBI's taxonomy places the organism in Eukaryota, Fungi, Basidiomycota, Agaricomycetes, Agaricales, Omphalotaceae.
UCCCUGGUAGUAUAUCGGUUAGUACACGCGCUUGUCAUCUGUUUUGAAUUACUCUGUGCGCGCGAAAGCUGGGUUCGACUCCCAGCCAGGGAG